RNAcentral lists this ribosomal RNA (501 nucleotides) under uncultured bacterium. Its description in RNAcentral is "partial 16S ribosomal RNA". It matches the Rfam family "Bacterial small subunit ribosomal RNA", at positions 29 to 523 of the family's 1533-position model. The record is from RNAcentral.
AUUGAACGCUGGCGGCAUGCCUUACACAUGCAAGUCGAACGGCAGCACGGGUGCUUGCACCUGGUGGCGAGUGGCGAACGGGUGAGUAAUACAUCGGAACGUACCUUAUCGUGGGGGAUAACGCAGCGAAAGCUGUGCUAAUACCGCAUACGCCCUGAGGGGGAAAGCGGGGGAUCGCAAGACCUCGCGCGAUUAGAGCGGCCGAUGCCUGAUUAGCUUGUUGGUGGGGUAAAAGCCCACCAAGGCGACGAUAAGUAGCUGGUCUGAGAGGACGAUCAGCCACGCUGGGACUGAGACACGGCCCAGACUCCUACGGGAGGCAGCAGUGGGGAAUUUUGGACAAUGGGGGCAACCCUGAUCCAGCAAUGCCGCGUGAGUGAAGAAGGCCUUCGGGUUGUAAAGCUCUUUUGUCAGGGAAGAAACACCGGCUCUAACACAGUUCGGGAAUGACGGUACCUGAAGAAUAAGCACCGGCUAACUACGUGCCAGCCGCCGCGGUAA